RNAcentral lists this ribosomal RNA (211 nucleotides) under uncultured Lactobacillus sp. RNAcentral describes it as "partial 16S ribosomal RNA". It matches the Rfam family "Bacterial small subunit ribosomal RNA", at positions 152 to 355 of the family's 1533-position model. Lineage: Bacteria; Bacillati; Bacillota; Bacilli; Lactobacillales; Lactobacillaceae. The record is from RNAcentral.
GGAAACAGAUGCUAAUACCGGAUAACAACAGAUGAUGCCUAUCAACUGUUUAAAAGAUGGUUCUGCUAUCACUCUUGGAUGGACCUGCGGUGCAUUAGCUAGUUGGUAGGGUAACGGCCUACCAAGGCGAUGAUGCAUAGCCGAGUUGAGAGACUGAUCGGCCACAUUGGGACUGAGACACGGGCCCAAACUCCUACGGGAGGCAGCAGUC